Molecule: transfer RNA, 71 nt
Filed under: Camelus bactrianus (Bactrian camel)
Lineage: Eukaryota; Metazoa; Chordata; Mammalia; Artiodactyla; Camelidae
Also listed under: 2 other names
Rfam family: tRNA
About the family: Transfer RNA (tRNA) molecules are approximately 80 nucleotides in length.
Source: Rfam by way of RNAcentral
GAGGGUAUAGCUCAGUGGUAGAGCACAUGCCUAGCACACAUGAGGUCCUGAGUUCAAUCCCAGUGCUUCCA